RNAcentral lists this ribosomal RNA (452 nucleotides) under uncultured organism. RNAcentral describes it as "partial 16S ribosomal RNA". It matches the Rfam family "Bacterial small subunit ribosomal RNA", at positions 333 to 801 of the family's 1533-position model. The record is from RNAcentral.
ACACUCCUACGGGAGGCAGCAGUGGGGAAUAUUGGACAAUGGGCGCAAGCCUGAUCCAGCCAUGCCGCGUGAGUGAUGAAGGCCCUAGGGUUGUAAAGCUCUUUCACCGGUGAAGAUAAUGACGGUAACCGGAGAAGAAGCCCCGGCUAACUUCGUGCCAGCAGCCGCGGUAAUACGAAGGGGGCUAGCGUUGUUCGGAUUUACUGGGCGUAAAGCGCACGUAGGCGGACUAUUAAGUCAGGGGUGAAAUCCCGGGGCUCAACCCCGGAACUGCCUUUGAUACUGGUAGUCUUGAGUUCGAGAGAGGUGAGUGGAAUUCCGUGUGUAGAGGUGAAAUUCGUAGAUAUUCGGAGGAACACCAGUGGCGAAGGCGGCUCACUGGCUCGAUACUGACGCUGAGGUGCGAAAGCGUGGGGAGCAAACAGGAUUAGAAACCCUUGUAGUCCCAUGAU